Molecule: ribosomal RNA, 474 nt
Filed under: uncultured bacterium
Lineage: Bacteria
Description: partial 16S ribosomal RNA
Rfam family: Bacterial small subunit ribosomal RNA
Source: RNAcentral
AACGAACGCUGGCGGCAUGCCUAACACAUGCAAGUCGAACGAGACCUUCGGGUCUAGUGGCGCACGGGUGCGUAACGCGUGGGAACCUGCCCUUAGGUUCGGAAUAACUCCCCGAAAGGGGUGCUAAUACCGGAUAAUGUCUUCGGACCAAAGAUUUAUCGCCUUUGGAUGGGCCCGCGUUGGAUUAGCUAGUUGGUAGGGUAAAAGCCUACCAAGGCGACGAUCCAUAGCUGGUCUGAGAGGAUGAUCAGCCACACUGGGACUGAGACACGGCCCAGACCCGGAGGGGAGGGACGGGUGGGAAGAGUCGGAAAGGGGGAACGAGCCUGAACAGGCAGUGCGGGGGGGGUGCUGAAGGGCGUUGGUUCGAAUGGCCCUGUGCCCGGGUGUGAGGUUGACAGUGGCGGGAGAAGAGCCGCCGGCAACCCCCGGGCCAGCGGCCGCGGUAAUAUGGGGACGACCACCCCUUUCCAC